Molecule: long non-coding RNA, 685 nt
Filed under: Macaca mulatta (Rhesus monkey)
Lineage: Eukaryota; Metazoa; Chordata; Mammalia; Primates; Cercopithecidae
Description: lncRNA (ENSMMUG00000050010.1)
Source: RNAcentral
AUAAACCUUAAUUACAGAUCAUAUCUCUUUGUUUCAAGUACGAGAUUCUUUGGGGUUUUUAGAUCUCACUCCAGUAUUUACCAUAGCUAUGUAAGGUAUUAGUAAUAGUGGAAAUCGGGUAUUUAGGAACUCUCUAUAAAUGUUUCUAGAUCCAUUUUUAUUUUCUGUAAAUGUAAAACUAUUUUAAAAUAAAAUUUAUUUAACAAUAAAUAAAGCUAGGAGCAAACAUAUUUUUAACAAUGAGCAUGCAUUUGCUCUCCUACUGGAAGGUCUGAAGGUUGGCUGAGAUGAUUCUGCAUUCGUUUCAGGUUUGCAAGUCAGCUGGGGCAGCUUGGAUCAACCUGGCUCAUUUGGAGCCCUGGUUACCCAGCAUAUGCUCUUCUCAUGGCAAUGUCAGGAAUACAAGAGAAAGAAGCCAACUAAACAAGCACGUCUGAAGCCUUUGCUCAUCUCAUAUCUGCCAAUGUUCUAUCAACAAAAUCAAGUCAACAGUCAAGCCAAAGUCAAGAAUAUACCUGGCAGGCAUCUGACUAUGAAAAGAUGGCCAAAGAGGGGGAAAGAUAUAGAGGCAUUCCAGCAGCACAGUAAAAACAAUCAAGUUAGCAUCCAAAAAACUGAAUCGAAAACAAUGCCGACCAGCUUUCACGUACACACAGCCCUGUCUUCAAAUCCACCAAACAUCUGA